CCUACGGGAGACAGCAGUGGGGAAUAUUGGGCAAUGGGCGCAAGCCUGACCCAGCAACGCCGCGUGAAGGAAGAAGGCUUUCGGGUUGUAAACUUCUUUUCUCAGGGACGAAGCAAGUGACGGUACCUGAGGAAUAAGCCACGGCUAACUACGUGCCAGCAGCCGCGGUAAUCCGUAGGUGGCAAGCGUUAUCCGGAUUUACUGGGGGUAAAGGGCGUGUGGGCGGGAAAGCAAGUCAGAUGGGAAAACCAUGGGCUCAACCUGUGGCCUGCAUUUGAAACUGGUGUUCUUGGGUACUGGAGAGGCAGACGGAAUUCGUGGUGUAGCGGUGAAAUGCGUAGAUAUUAGGAAGAACACCAGUGGCGAAGGCGGUCUGCUGGACAGCAACUGACGCUGAGGCGCGAAAGCGUGGGGAGCAAACAGGAUUAGAUACCCUGGUAGUC
This 443-nucleotide ribosomal RNA is filed under the name uncultured bacterium. RNAcentral's name for it is "partial 16S ribosomal RNA". It matches the Rfam family "Bacterial small subunit ribosomal RNA", at positions 338 to 795 of the family's 1533-position model. The record is from RNAcentral.